Molecule: non-coding RNA, 30 nt
Filed under: Homo sapiens (human)
Lineage: Eukaryota; Metazoa; Chordata; Mammalia; Primates; Hominidae
Source: RNAcentral
UCUACCGCUAUCUACUACGAACUUCAAAGA